UACGUAGGGUGCAAGCGUUGUCCGGAAUUAUUGGGCGUAAAGAGCUCGUAGGCGGCUUGUUGCGUCGGCUGUGAAAACCCAUGGCUCAACCGUGGGCUUGCAGCCGAUACGGGCAGGCUAGAGUUCGGUAGGGGAGACUGGAAUUCCUGGUGUAGCGGUGAAAUGCGCAGAUAUCAGGAGGAACACCGGUGGCGAAGGCGGGUCUCUGGGCCGAUACUGACGCUGAGGAGCGAAAGCGUGGGGAGCGAACAGG
RNAcentral lists this ribosomal RNA (253 nucleotides) under uncultured bacterium. RNAcentral's name for it is "partial 16S ribosomal RNA". It matches the Rfam family "Bacterial small subunit ribosomal RNA", at positions 524 to 776 of the family's 1533-position model. The record is from RNAcentral.